AGAGAGGAGAAGGGAAGGAAGCAGAGGAGCGCGGGGAGCAGGGACGACCUGCUAGGCUCGCCGACCGGAGUGACGCAACUGAUGUGGCUGGCGGCGGUCGAAGGCGAAUGGCAGCUACGAGGCGGCUUCGCGCAGCACGCGAGCAGGAGGCGGGACGCACAGGGAGAAGGAGAGCGGGUGAGGCGCUGGGCUACAGGCAAUGGGUCGGGCGAUGUUGGCUUGAGGCGGAGUUGGGCCUGGACCAGAGGAGAGGUGGCGCUGGUGGAGGCUGACUCGCGGGCGGGAGGAAGGAGGAGGCGGCUGCGGGUUGGCCCGAUGGGGAAAAUGAGGUGGGAUGGCAGCGCUGUCGGGAGGGGAAUUGGUUAGCUAGGGUUAGGGUAGGAUUGGACUACAUUUUGUAUAUAAAUAGCAAACGGAUCUAAAUGAGGUCUAAUUGGACCUUCGAUCUAAAUCGAACGAUUGCGGUAAAAAUAGGUUAGGGGUCCUACUUAAAAACCGAUGACGGUUUAGCGUAUUACG
RNAcentral lists this long non-coding RNA (519 nucleotides) under Hordeum vulgare. RNAcentral describes it as "long non-coding RNA (HVUL_LNC001753)". Lineage: Eukaryota; Viridiplantae; Streptophyta; Magnoliopsida; Poales; Poaceae. The record is from RNAcentral.